This 247-nucleotide ribosomal RNA is filed under the name uncultured bacterium. RNAcentral's name for it is "partial 16S ribosomal RNA". It matches the Rfam family "Bacterial small subunit ribosomal RNA", at positions 109 to 353 of the family's 1533-position model. The record is from RNAcentral.
AGUAACGCGUGGGUAACCUGCCUUGUACAGGGGGAGUAACAGUUGGAAACGACUGCUAAUACCGCAUAAGCGCACAGUACCGCAUGGUACAGUGUGAAAAACUCCGGUGGUACGAGAUGGACCCGCGUCUGAUUAGCUUGUUGGUGGGGUAACGGCCUACCAAGGCAACGAUCAGUAGCCGACUUGAGAGAGUGAUCGGCCACAUUGGGACUGAGACACGGCCCAAACUCCUACGGGAGGCAGCAUG